CAGUUGGUCAGAGAAGAGCUGAGGUAACUAGCCUAGAAAGCGUACCUACAUUGUGAGCACCUCCUGAGACUGCACCAAGGCAGAGAAUCAGAGCCGCCUGUAGCCAGUGAGGAGAAGGAUGGAUAGACACACAGCUGAGCACCCUAGCUAAACCUGACAACCAGGCAGGGAGAAACACAGCUGAGGCCCAGUCUCUGGAGGGAGACAUAAUCUGAAAACUCAUCCCUGCUGAUUGCUGUAAGAACUAGAGAUGAUUCUGUGGAAUCCAAGCCACUCCGAACACCAUGGAUCCGAGUUCACUCAAGCCAAAGCUUGGUGUUCCCAUCAGACUCAGAUCCCACUUCGAGGCCGAACGUCAUCCUGCCCGUGCCGGAUUCUCACGAGAGUUGGAUUUUAUGAAUCCAAAUCCCAAUCCACAGUGGUUUGGCAUAUCCAAAUCUAAAGCCAGAGGACGAAUCAGAGUCAAAUCCAAAUCCAGCAAAAAUGGUCCGGCACACAUCUCUAGGAAGAACAUUUAAAGAGAGACAGUGGAGGGGCAUUUAGUGGUGUGAUUACUGACUGUCUUCAGGGCACACGUUCUGAAGAUAAUUAGUUUCUGCAAAACAUUACAAUAUUGUCUGGCUGUGAACCGGGGGUGUGAUCUCCAAGCUGUAUUAUACCAAGCCAAGUUCAUUGGCAAGUGACAUUGAGGAGAUUCUGAAUUUCUGACUUGGAGACAUUAAGAAACAAAUGAGAGGAUGGGGAAAUGAAAAGGGAAGAUUAAUGGAAUGCUUUGUCACAUGAAGUAUGAAUAUUGUUAUUUAUGGUUAACUAAACAACGUGCUAAUA
Molecule: long non-coding RNA, 828 nt
Organism: Pseudophryne corroboree (corroboree frog)
Lineage: Eukaryota; Metazoa; Chordata; Amphibia; Anura; Myobatrachidae
Exons: 4
Source: RefSeq, a predicted model, not a curated record